This 793-nucleotide ribosomal RNA is filed under the name Methanosaeta sp. enrichment culture clone A22125. RNAcentral describes it as "bacterial SSU rRNA". It matches the Rfam family "Archaeal small subunit ribosomal RNA", at positions 85 to 879 of the family's 1478-position model. Lineage: Archaea; Methanobacteriati; Methanobacteriota; Methanomicrobia; Methanotrichales; Methanotrichaceae. The record is from RNAcentral.
ACUGCUCAGUAACACGUGGACAACCUGCCCUUAGGACGGGGAUAAACCCGGGAAACUGGGUAUAAUACCCGAUAGGUCUCGAUUGCUGGAAUGCAUCGAGAUUUAAAGCUCCGGCGCCUAAGGAUGGGUCUGCGGCCUAUCAGGUAGUAGUGGGUGUAGCGUACCUACUAGCCUACGACGGGUACGGGUUGUGAGAGCAAGAGCCCGGAGAUGGAUUCUGAGACACGAAUCCAGGCCCUACGGGGUGCAGCAGGCGCGAAAACUUUACAAUGCUGGCAACAGCGAUAAGGGAACCUCGAGUGCCAGGUUACAAAUCUGGCUGUCGAGAUGCCUAAAAAGCAUUUCAUAGCAAGGGCCGGGCAAGACCGGUGCCAGCCGCCGCGGUAACACCGGCGGCUCGAGUGGUAACCGUUAUUAUUGGGUCUAAAGGGUCUGUAGCCGGCCGGAUAAGUCUCUUGAGAAAUCUGGCAGCUUAACUGUCAGGCUUUCAGGAGAUACUGUCUGGCUCGAGGCCGGGAGAGGUGAGAGGUACUUCAGGGGUAGGGGUGAAAUCUUGUAAUCCUUGAAGGACCACCAGUGGCGAAGGCGUCUCACCAGAACGGACCUGACGGCAAGGGACGAAAGCUAGGGGCACGAACCGGAUUAGAUACCCGGGUAGUCCUAGCCGUAAACGAUACUCGCUAGGUGUCGGCCACGGUGCGACCGUUGUCGGUGCCGGAGGGAAGCCGUGAAGCGAGCCACCUGGGAAGUACGGCCGCAAGGCUGAAACCUAAAGGAAUUGGCGGGGGAGCAC